Toxocara canis (dog roundworm) is the source of this 71-nucleotide transfer RNA. It matches the Rfam family "tRNA". Rfam says of the family: Transfer RNA (tRNA) molecules are approximately 80 nucleotides in length. Their secondary structure includes four short double-helical elements and three loops (D, anti-codon, and T loops). The record is from Rfam. NCBI's taxonomy places the organism in Eukaryota, Metazoa, Nematoda, Chromadorea, Rhabditida, Toxocaridae.
CGGGCAGUAGCUCAGUGGUAGAGCUCCCGCUUCAUAGCGGCAAGACCUGGAUUCGAUUCCCGGCUGCUUGC